RNAcentral lists this unclassified non-coding RNA (213 nucleotides) under Hevea brasiliensis (rubber tree). Lineage: Eukaryota; Viridiplantae; Streptophyta; Magnoliopsida; Malpighiales; Euphorbiaceae. The record is from RNAcentral.
CAUACUCAUCUUCCAAAUCAACAUGUUCAUCAUCAUAAUCCUUUUCCUCAUCUUCAAGAAGCGAAUAAGUUUGGGUGGAUGAUGCUUUUCUGUUUUGCUGUGGUGUAGAUCUUGAAACAAGUGUAGAUGCAACAUUUUUUGCUUUACUUGAUCUAAUGUCAUAGGCAUCCUCUUUAGCACCAACAGCUUCAGCAACCACAUUCCAUGUCAAAU